RNAcentral lists this ribosomal RNA (508 nucleotides) under uncultured bacterium. RNAcentral describes it as "partial 16S ribosomal RNA". It matches the Rfam family "Bacterial small subunit ribosomal RNA", at positions 28 to 523 of the family's 1533-position model. The record is from RNAcentral.
GAUGAACGCUAGCUACAGGCUUAACACAUGCAAGUCGAGGGGAAACGAUAUUGGAAGCUUGCUUCCGAUAGGCGUCGACCGGCGCACGGGUGAGUAACGCGUAUCCAACCUGCCCAUCACUUGGGGAUAACCUUGCGGAAGUAAGACUAAUACCCAAUGAUAUCUCUAGAAGACAUCUGAAAGGGAUUAAAGAUUUAUCGGUUAUGGAUGGGGAUGAGUCUGAUUAGCUUGUUGGCGGGGUAACGGCCCACCAAGGCGACGAUCGGUCUGGGUUCUGAGAGGAAGGUCACCCACAUUGGAACUGAGACACAGUCCAAAAUCCUACGGGAGGCAGCAGUGAGGAAUAUUGGUCAAUGGACGAGAGUCUGAACAAGCCAAGUAGCGUGCAGGAUGACGGCCAUAUGGGUUGUAAACUGCUUUUAUAAGGGAAUAAAGUGAGCCUCGGGAGGUUUUUUGCAUGUACCUUAUGAAUAAGGACCGGCUAAUUCCGUGCCAGCCGCCGCAGUAA